AGAAAACAAAGAAAUAUGUCUGAAGUGAAGAUACCAAACAUCGGAAUUCAUGUGUUUGUCUUCGCAAUCAUCUUCCUUAGCCUCGUUUUUUUCUCUACCCGCCGCGGCCCCAGCGGCCGUGGGGCGGUGAUUCCGGUGGAGAAAUCCUGCAUACAUGGCUGGUUUUGUGCUUAUGUCAAGCACCACAGUCGAGUGUUAAUGACGUGGCAAAUAAAACUGCAGUGCUCAAUUUGUUACUAUAAUAAGGUGCUCUACUAUAAAUAUCCUUGUAUUCUCAGCAUUAUGUAGAUCAUAUUCGCAAUUCUCAGUUAAUAUAUAAAAUUUUUCUUUCAUCUCUCAGAUUUUCCUUUCCAU
Molecule: long non-coding RNA, 354 nt
Filed under: Citrus sinensis (sweet orange)
Lineage: Eukaryota; Viridiplantae; Streptophyta; Magnoliopsida; Sapindales; Rutaceae
Description: long non-coding RNA (CSIN_LNC004286)
Source: RNAcentral